UAGGGAAUCUUCCACAAUGGACGCAAGUCUGAUGGAGCAACGCCGCGUGAGUGAAGAAGGUUUUCGGAUCGUAAAGCUCUGUUGUUGGUGAAGAAGGAUAGAGGUAGUAACUGGCCUUUAUUUGACGGUAAUCAACCAGAAAGUCACGGCUAACUACGUGCCAGCAGCCGCGGUAAUACGUAGGUGGCAAGCGUUGUCCGGAUUUAUUGGGCGUAAAGCGAGCGCAGGCGGAAGAAUAAGUCUGAUGUGAAAGCCCUCGGCUUAACCGAGGAACUGCAUCGGAAGCUGUUUUUCUUGAGUGCAGAAGAGGAGAGUGGAACUCCAUGUGUAGCGGUGGAAUGCGUAGAUAUAUGGAAGAACACCAGUGGCGAAGGCGACUCUCUGGUCUGCAACUGACGCUGAGGCUCGAAAGCAUGGGUAGCGAACAGG
RNAcentral lists this ribosomal RNA (429 nucleotides) under bacterium. RNAcentral describes it as "partial 16S ribosomal RNA". It matches the Rfam family "Bacterial small subunit ribosomal RNA", at positions 355 to 776 of the family's 1533-position model. The record is from RNAcentral.